Molecule: unclassified non-coding RNA, 3477 nt
Filed under: Daphnia magna
Lineage: Eukaryota; Metazoa; Arthropoda; Branchiopoda; Diplostraca; Daphniidae
Description: guanine nucleotide-binding protein G(q) subunit alpha, transcript variant X6
Source: RNAcentral
UCUUCAGUCAUUGCCAAGAUGGCGUCUGCUAAGGUGAACUCUUUUAAGUUGUUCUCUUAUCAUGUAAGAAACACCACUUUGUGAUGGACAUUCCGGUAGAUUUCCAAUUUUGUUCGAUGGUGUGAAAUUCGCCUUAUAUUAUCGAGUGGUAGAAUUCCUUUUGAUGAGUGUUGUGCGUUGAAAUCACCUGCCGAAGAGCAAACACCUGAUCCAAGUGCUAAAAGGGGGAGAGGGAGGGGAUAGACAGAAUGCCCAGCUUGACAACAAUGAAUUGCGCUGGUCGUUCGCUAGUGGAUCAGCUCUCGUGCUGCUUCCAGCGACGGGAUAUGGAUGGCAAUCCCAGACAGCCUUCACUGGUUCCGCCAUUACUAGCCAUACCUGCCUUGAAACCGAAAAAGUCACGCAUUAGAAUGGACGUCGUGAUGCUUUUGCAGGGUACGGGAGAAUCGGGGAAAUCUACUUUCAUCAAGCAGAUGCGCAUCAUUCACGGUGCCGGUUAUUCCGACGAAGACAAACGGGGUUUUAUCAAACUCGUCUAUCAAAACAUAUUCAUGGCAAUGCAGAGCAUGAUACGAGCCAUGGAUAUGUUACACAUUUCUUACGGAGACUCGCCUAAUAUAGAAAAAGCGGAACUAGUCCGGUCCGUUGACUACGAAACUGUCACAACUUUUGAAAGCCCUUACGUCGAAGCCAUACGGGACUUGUGGAGAGAUGCCGGCAUACAAGAAUGCUAUGACCGGAGGCGUGAAUAUCAACUCACUGAUUCUGCUAAAUACUAUUUAGAAGCGCUAGAUCGUAUUGCCGCUCCGGAUUAUUUACCCACGCAGCAAGAUAUUUUGCGCGUUCGUGUCCCUACAACGGGCAUCAUCGAAUAUCCAUUUGACCUGCAAGAGAUCCGCUUCAGGAUGGUGGACGUGGGUGGACAGCGAUCCGAACGACGGAAAUGGAUUCAUUGUUUUGAAAAUGUUACUUCCAUCAUCUUCCUCGUUGCAUUAAGCGAGUACGAUCAGAUUCUUUUUGAAUCAGACAACGAGAACCGAAUGGAAGAGUCCAAGGCUUUAUUCCGCACUAUCAUCACGUAUCCAUGGUUCCAGCACUCGUCAGUCAUCUUGUUUUUGAACAAAAAAGAUCUUCUAGAAGAGAAGAUUAUUUACUCCCACAUAGUCGACUACUUCCCCGAAUAUGACGGACCCAAAAAAGAUCAUGUCGCUGCUCGCGAGUACAUCUUGAAAAUGUACAUGGCAAUGAAUCCAGAUCCGGAUCGAAGUUGCUAUUCCCACUUCACUGUCGCCACAGAUACUGAGAAUAUUAAGCUGGUGUUUUGUGCCGUCAAAGACACAAUCAUGCAGACUGCACUGAAAGAGUACAAUCUGGCUUAAAAAAAAGAAAGCCAGAUUUAAAAUUGUUGCCAUCGCCAGAUAAACUUGCAUUGGGGGAAAAGUUGUUCAGAUACGGAGAAUAUUCGUUUUGUUUUUGCCGCCGUUAAGGAUACUAUUCUGCAACUCAACUUGCGGGAGUACAAUUUGGUGUGAAUUUCUUCGAUCCCUUUCCUGUUUUCACGAUAACACGCAAAAAAAAGUUCACUGAAGAAUCCGCUCUUGCUCUCCCUCCGCCUCAGUCCUCCUUUACCCCACCCUUCUUAAGUCUUCAAAGGAAGAAAGAAGAAAAAGAUAUAUAGGGAUGGGAAGUGAACAUAGCAAGAAGUCUGGUUCCAUGGUUACUUGGGAUUCGGAUAGCAAUGCGUUAAAAUUAAAAAUUGUUUUCAAUUUCCUUCAAUUUCUUCUCUUGAUUGCCCAAUUAGUUUAAAGCCACUGCAAAUGGGUGGGGAAAAAAAUCGUAGUGGUGUGGUGAAAUGCCGUUAGAAUCUGAACAUGCUGCGCUCUCUCUUUGCUCUCUCUUUGCCACUUUUUGAGGGGGGAGAGGGAGACUGAUAUUCGUCGUGACCUGCGCAUUAAAAACAGGUCAAGUUGUGAAUCGUUCGCAGAGCUCAGUGACCAAAUGGUGUUACCUCUUCCUUUCCCUGACACAACCGCGUCCUCCCCUUUGCCCGUUUCCGCUCUGUGUACAUAAUGAAUUUAAAAAGAGACAACAACAAAAGCAAAAAAAAAAAAAAAAAAUGUCGAUCAUUUGUUUCUUCCUCUCCUAUCUCUUAUGCUCUGCUACCCUCCUUCAGAUUUCGACUCCCCUCCCCCCCUCCCCAAAAAAAAACUCGAGUUAAAAGGUUCAAUUAGAUACAAAACAUGUAGAAGAAUUGCUUGAGUUUUUCGUUUUUGUUUCUUUAAAUCCCGUUUCGACUCGAAAGCAUUUUUUGUUGUUUGAAAUUAAGGGCAAAACACACAUUCUGUAUUCAAUGAAAUUUCUAUGUGUGUAUGUCUGUGUGUGUGCGUGUGUGUAUGUGCAUGUUAUAUGAGAUGUGCUGAUCACAGGCGAAACUAACGUGUAGACAGGUUUUGUAAGAAGGUGCGCAGGUUAACUGAAGCAGAAGGCGGGGGGAAGAAACAUUGCCUAGCUAGAAUCGUACUAAUAUUAAUUAUUAUAACAGUUUUGUCACUGCGUGUUCAUUUCUGCGCGGGAGACAAAGAAAAUUAAGACAGAUAGGACGAUACCCUUUUUUCCCUGCACUGACCGCCUCCCCCCUUCUUCUCUCCACUUCUUCUCCUCCCGAUUUCGGCUCUAGUCUCGCCCGCCAGUUGUUCAUUAUUGGGGACAUGACAUAAGAAAAGGAAAAAAAAAAAAUGAUUAAAUCUUCUGCGGACCCAUGGAAUCUAUACGUUAUUCUUCAUUUCUUUUGACUGUACUUAAAAGAAAAAAAAAACGAAGUCAUCGGCCAUUUUAGUCGCAAAUUGAUUGUUCUCGCUCCUCCAUCGUGUGUAUGUGCAAUUUUUCAAUUUUUUUUUUAAAUUCUCCCUAUUCCCUUCUUCCAAACCCAUUUCUCCCUCUUAUCUUCCCAUUUCUCACUUGUUCUAUAUACUGUGACCCGCCUACCACCCAUUCCCUAUCCUCCCAGUUUUGAUUCUUUAGUUUUUAUCAAUGAAUGCGUUUGUUUAUAUUUUGCGCGCGGAUGGUGUGUGGCCAUCAGUUUCAAUUACUUUCUAUGUUAGGGUUUUCUUGUAACCCCUUCAAGAAAGAUGACAUAGAUUCGUAGUUCUUUUAUUUUUAUUUUUGUUAAUCAGAAAAAAAAGUAAAAAAGGUAAAAAAAAAAAUCAUUUUCUUCCCGCCACUUGUGUGCUGUCUUGCUCGAAAAAAAAAAUAAACAAAACAAAGAAAAACAAAAAAAAAACAAAAAACGAAAGGAAAUGGAAAAAAAAGGAAAAAAAUUGAAUAAUGGCGGUGUCUUGACUUUGAUCCGUUUGAUUUCAUUCGCUAUCUCUAGCUCUCUUUUCUUAAUUUCAAUUGUAAUUCUAUUGUAUUGUACUGUACCGUGUACUGUAUUGAUGAUUUAAUCCGACAUUGGAAAUGAAGAAAUGGUUGAAAUGA